UACAGAGGGUGCAAGCGUUAAUCGGAAUUACUGGGCGUAAAGCGUACGUAGGCGGUUUGGUAAGUCAGAUGUGAAAGCCCCGGGCUCAACCUGGGAAUUGCAUUUGAGACUGCCUGGCUAGAAUGCGGUAGAGGGCAGCGGAAUUUCCGGUGUAGCAGUGAAAUGCGUAGAUAUCGGAAGGAACAUCAGUGGCGAAAGCGGCUGCCUGGACCAGCAUUGACGCUCAGGUACGAAAGCGUGGGGAGCAAACAGG
RNAcentral lists this ribosomal RNA (253 nucleotides) under uncultured bacterium. Its description in RNAcentral is "partial 16S ribosomal RNA". It matches the Rfam family "Bacterial small subunit ribosomal RNA", at positions 524 to 776 of the family's 1533-position model. The record is from RNAcentral.